Molecule: long non-coding RNA, 782 nt
Organism: Phymastichus coffea
Lineage: Eukaryota; Metazoa; Arthropoda; Insecta; Hymenoptera; Eulophidae
Exons: 3
Source: RefSeq, a predicted model, not a curated record
AACUUCGGUCUUUUAUUCCUCUUGACAAGCGUGUGAUUUGAUUGGGAGCUUUUAUUUGCAUUAACAACCUAUCAACUAUCUUGAUUUCAUCAGCUGACAGUGAAAACGGAAAAUUAAUUGUAUCAAACCAAUACCCGGUUAUUUGUUUUCCAAUACCCUCAUCUGCGAAGUGCAGAUCAUCAGGAACAAAACCAUUCACAACAUUAAAGCUUUUAAGGUUAAUUAAACACGAUGGCCUUUUUACGCCGAAAACCGGAACGUUAGAGUCUAUACUAAGUUGAAUGUGUUGUAUCAUGUCUAAUUCGGUUCUCCUUGGAGGAAGUUCGUCUAACAAGACAUAUUUCACACAACCGCCACGAAGAGUUGGUACAUACACACCUGGAUGCAAGCACCACGAACAACCGAAGUAACCAUUGUACUGAACAAUGCCCUGCAUGGGAGCUCGGGCACCGGAAUCGACACAACAGCAUAAUGAACACAUUCAUAUCUGGCUUGACUUUACCGAACCACAAACCACAAGUCACUGUUUUUGAAGUUCUAACAUUAUAAGGAAGUUCAUUGAUAAUCAUUUGGACAGGCCAAAUUGAAUACUGAGAGCUUUCAAAAACAGGAGCUCCGUCACUGUUGAAUGUGGCUGUAACAAAGUUCUUUCUUUCGUUAGGUGAAUAAACAUGCUCCCAGUUUUGAAAAAUCAAGUUGCUGCAAUCAUUUGCCACAUCGAAAACUACAAAAAAAUUGUUAUAGCAAGGACUUUUCAAAUAUAUAACCUUCCGACAAACGUG